RNAcentral lists this ribosomal RNA (468 nucleotides) under uncultured bacterium. RNAcentral describes it as "partial 16S ribosomal RNA". It matches the Rfam family "Bacterial small subunit ribosomal RNA", at positions 28 to 507 of the family's 1533-position model. The record is from RNAcentral.
GACGAACGCUGGCGGCGUGCUUAACACAUGCAAGUCGAACGGAAAGGCCCUGCUUUUGUGGGGUGCUCGAGUGGCGAACGGGUGAGUAACACGUGAGUAACCUGCCCUUGACUUUGGGAUAACUUCAGGAAACUGGGGCUAAUACCGGAUAGGAGCUCCUGCUGCAUGGUGGGGGUUGGAAAGUUUCGGCGGUUGGGGAUGGACUCGCGGCUUAUCAGCUUGUUGGUGGGGUAGUGGCUUACCAAGGCUUUGACGGGUAGCCGGCCUGAGAGGGUGACCGGCCACAUUGGGACUGAGAUACGGCCCAGACUCCUACGGGAGGCAGCAGUGGGGGAUAUUGCACAAUGGGCGGAAGCCUGAUGCAGCAACGCCGCGUGCGGGAUGACGGCCUUCGGGUUGUAAACCGCUUUCGCCUGUGACGAAGCGUGAGUGACGGUAAUGGGUAAUGAAGCACCGGCUAACUACGUG